RNAcentral lists this long non-coding RNA (257 nucleotides) under Cottoperca gobio. Its description in RNAcentral is "lncRNA (ENSCGOG00000019155.1)". Lineage: Eukaryota; Metazoa; Chordata; Actinopteri; Perciformes; Bovichtidae. The record is from RNAcentral.
CGUCAAAUCCCCGGAUUACCCACCAGCCUUCUGUCCCCGACCUCGAGCUCGGUUUCCUCAUCUCUGAACCUGGGUUACUUAUGUCUGAGCAGGAUGUGAACGGAUGGCCCACUUGAUCCCCUAUGUGUCUGAGCAGGAACACAACCACACGGAGGAUUAGAGAGAGAGAGGAUCGGCCAUCACAUCCAGAUGAUGCAAAUCUGCUCCCUGCUUCACAUGUGAAUAGUGAGCCCAAAUCCUCAUUCCAAAGAGUGAAA